Nicotiana attenuata is the source of this 1997-nucleotide long non-coding RNA. RefSeq lists it as uncharacterized. The transcript is spliced from 2 exons. The record is from RefSeq and is a predicted model, not a curated record. NCBI's taxonomy places the organism in Eukaryota, Viridiplantae, Streptophyta, Magnoliopsida, Solanales, Solanaceae.
GUAUGCUGGAUGUUGAAGAUGAAGCUUCUGAAGCUUUUGUGAAGUACAGGCAAGUACAUAAUAAUUCUGAGGUCAAACCCUACAGAAUAAAGGGUAAGUAAACAUAAUGAAUAUAUAGGGCCUAAACACAACACACAUAUAUUGGGCCUCAGCAAAGCAAACAUAUAUUGAGCCUGUUAUACAUGACUAAGGGAUCCAUUAUAGCUAUCUUGCAUUUACUAUGGAAUUCUCUAGAAGAUGAUGGAUAACAACAAAUCAGGGUUUUAAUACUUUGUCCCAUUAUACAGGACAUUAUCCUUUAAUUGUCCUUGUACAGCUUUUAUAAUUUGUCUUUUACAUUGCUAGUUUUGUAUAUAAUAGGAUAUACUUUGUAAUACACACAGCAGAAAUACAAAAAAGGUUUAAGGAAAUCUUUCUCUGCAUUUGUUUUUUUGCUUUCAUGGUAUCAGAGCAAGAGCUCUAAUACACAGAUACACAUUUUUUUCUUCUCUCUUUUCUGAUCUUUUUUUUUCCCUUUGAGUUGUUAUGGCAGUCCCCUCUGAAUCUGAUGUUUCAUCUGGAACAGCUUCCACAGGGACUGUUCCAAAUCCCAUUGAUGGAACUAAUCUUGUUGCCGCUACAAGCUUAGUGGAUGGAUCUUAGUGGAUGGAUCUCACCCCUAUUUUCUGAACUCUUCUGAUUAAUGUUAAUUUUGAUGGAAGCAGUUAUUAAAACUGGAGGAGGGGAGUUUUGAUUUCACUUUCUGCUAAAAACAAGCUGGGAUUUAUAAAGGGAUCUUGCAAAAUCCCAGAAGAAAACUCACCUCUGUUUGAACAAUGGAGAAGACGCAAUGACUUGGUCAUUGCAUGGCUGCUGAACUCUUUGAGCAAAGAUAUAGCUGAGAGUGUAAUUUACUCUCAAACUGCUGAAGAACUUUGGAGUGAGCUGGAGCAAAGAUAUGGACAGGCUGAUGGUGCUAAGUUGUUUCAGCUGCAAAGAGAACUCAACAAUAUUUCACAAGGCACCAGUGAUGUUGCAGCAUAUUUUACUAGACUCAAAAGGAUUUGGGACCAAAUGAAAGUUCUUAAUACAUUCAUGACUUGCAGUUGUUAAUGUAAGUGUGGAGCCAAGAGUCACAACCACAAAAUGAAUGAGGAUCAGAAGUUAAUCCAGUUCAUGGGUUUGAAUGAAGGAUACUCGGGUGUUAGGGGAAACAUUCUCAUGAUGAAGCCCCUACCUUCUACAGCACAAGCCUACUCUAUCAUUCUUCAUGAAGAAACUCAAAGGGAGGUCCAUUCUGCAAGCCAAGUGUGCAUUGAAUCUAGUGUCUUCAAUGUUAAUGCACCAAAAUGGAAUGGACAGAAACGCAAUACUGAAUACAGGGCAAAUAACCAAAAUUUCAGCAAUGAAGGAAAGAGAAACAAUCAACUUUGCUCAUAUUGCAAGAAACCAGGGCAUAACAAGGAAAAGUGCUACAAAUUGGUUGGAUAUAUCCACAGUCCUUUAAGUGCACCAAACCUAAGAGAAAUUAUGGAAACACUCAAGCUAAUAUUGCCACUGUUGAGGAAGGCGAAAGCUCGGGUGGUACAGUGGGCAUUGGAGGGAAUGUACCUGCUAUGAUAAGCACACAGGGGUUCUCUAAAGAACAAUGUGAGCAGCUGAUCCACAUGUUACAGGCUAUGCAAGUUGGAACCUCUAAAGGUUCAGGUACUGAUGCCAAUGCCAGUGCUAACUUUGUGGGCCCCUUCUCUAUAGAGGCAAAUGAUGCUUGGUGAAGCCAAUGCAGGAAUCUAUCUGCUGGAAGAUGGUUCAUUAAAAUCUAGUGUGUCUGUGUCUAAUCCUACUUGUUCAGGAUCUUUACUUUAUUUUCCUAAAAGUCUUGAGAAGACUUGUAGUUUAGCCAAUUCUGAGUCUUUUGUCCAGUCUUUUAAUUCUGCCCCAGAGUCUGUUCAAACAAAUAUAAAAGAUACUUUUGCAUCUAAUGAGAAGAUGACUAUGGAUGAAAUUAAUAUUUCUCA